This 136-nucleotide small nucleolar RNA is filed under the name Neurospora crassa. RNAcentral's name for it is "box H/ACA snoRNA ACA1". The record is from RNAcentral. Lineage: Eukaryota; Fungi; Ascomycota; Sordariomycetes; Sordariales; Sordariaceae.
UCGGCGUAUAACUAGGCCGAGGUCUCACUACGCUCCACGAUCUUAGUCUUUUAAGUCGCCGAUAUAUCAAAUGCGAGAGUCUUACACGUUACUGGAGUCACCAAUGAUAUCUAAUGUUUAAACUGUCGCGACAUUU